This is an RNA transcript of Mus pahari (shrew mouse), 1102 nucleotides long. It is a transcript of the gene named protein SEC13 homolog pseudogene, with no coding region annotated. The record is from RefSeq and is a predicted model, not a curated record. The transcript has a single exon. Lineage: Eukaryota; Metazoa; Chordata; Mammalia; Rodentia; Muridae.
AUGGUGUCAGUAAUUAACACCUCACAUGAGCACAUGACUCCUGAUGUGGACUAUUAUGACACCUGUCUAGCAACCUGCUCCUCAGAUAGAUCCAUCAAAAUUUUUGAUGUGCAAAUUAGAGGGCAGAUCCUCAUUGUGGACCUCAGAGGACCGGAGGGACCAGCGUGGCAAGUGGCCUGGGCCCACCCCAUGUAUGGCAAUAUAUCUUGACUUCCUGUUCCUUUGACCAAAAUGUCAUUAUCUGGAAUGAGGAAAACAGCCCUUGGGAGAAGACCCAUGAGCAUUCAGGCCAGGACUCCUCAGUGGACUCUGUUUUGCUGGGCCCUUCAUUACACUGGCCUGAUCCUGGUCUAUGGGAGUUCAGAUGGGGCCACCUCACUGCUGACCUACACAGAAGGCCAGUGGGAAGUGAAGAUUAACAAUGCUCACACGAUUGGCUGUAAUGCUGUCAGUUGGGCCCCAGCUGCUGGGCCUGGAAGCCUUAUAGACUAACCAUCAGGACAGAAACCUAAUUACAUCAAGAAGUUUGCAUCAGGUGGCUGUGACAACCUCAUCAAGCUGUGGAGGGAGGAGGAGGAUGGCCAGUGAAGGAGGAGCAAAAGCCAGAGGCACACAGAGAUUGGGUUCGAGACGUUGCCUGGGUCCCUCCAUUGGCUUGCCCACUAGCACCACUGCCAGCUGCUCUCAGGGUAAUUGAGUGUUUAUUUGGACCUGCCAUGAUGCCUCAGGCAACAUGUGGUCACCUAAACUCCUACACACGUUCAAUGAUGUUGUGUGGCACGUGAGCUGGUCCAUCACAACGAACAUCCUGGCUAUGUCAGGUGGAGACAGUAAGGUGACCCUGUGGAAAGAAUCUGUGGAUGUACAGUGGGUAUGCACCAGUGAUGUCAACAAGGGCCAGGGUUCUGGGUCAGCCUCCAUCACAGAGGCCCAAAGCACGAGCAGUGACGACACAGGAAGCCUGGCCUUCCUGUUACCUAUUCUGGAACAACCUCCAAACAACUGGGAAGAAGAGUCCCAGUGCUACCAAGAUUCUACACACAUGAGUGCCCACACGCAACACUGGCUGUCCACCUGCCUUACUGGGAUUCCACGUGUUUAG